UUUUAGAUACUGUGUGCAUAUUUUGAUACAAAAGGAAUAUUUAAGUGAAAGCAGAGAGACACACUAGGCAGCAAAGAAUUCCAAACAAGGAGAGUCAUUUGAAUUAUUCUACUAUUAGUGAGUUGUCUCUCCCACUACUCCUGUAUCUGUUUGGAGGAGGCAAGCAGUUCUUCAGUUAUAAUCAUCAACACAGUAUCAGAGGCAUUAGGCAUGGAGGACUGUCUCCACAUUUUGCAGAUGAGUCCAACAUCCAGCAAGGAAAACUGAUUUACUUAAUAUUGUACAAUCUGUAAGUGUCAGAAUGGCUUCUGUCAUAAUAGACUACUUAUUCCUCCCUGGAGUCUAAGGCAUGAAACAGGUGCAUAGAAUGAGGCAUAGAAACAUAUCAGAAGAACCCCUAAGGGGCCGAAACAUGAACACAAGGUAUCACUUACAAAGAGUCAUAAUGACUAACAUUUAUUGUGAACCCUUCUAGGGCUGUCUUAAUAACUUAGCUCAAUUAAUCUUCAUAGUCAUCUUUACAGUUCUUUAUCAGUUCUUAUGACUGUACUUGCUUUCUCUUGUUUUAUUGCAUUGGCUGACACCUCUAAUGCAAUGUGGAAGAGCAGUGGAGAUAGUGGACAUCCUUGCCUUGUUCCUAAUCUUAGAGGAAAUGCCUUGGAUGCUUCUCCAUUAAAUAAUAUGUUAUCUUGAG
This 694-nucleotide long non-coding RNA is filed under the name Marmota monax (woodchuck). The record is from RNAcentral. Lineage: Eukaryota; Metazoa; Chordata; Mammalia; Rodentia; Sciuridae.